This 774-nucleotide ribosomal RNA is filed under the name uncultured Neocallimastigales. Its description in RNAcentral is "partial large subunit ribosomal RNA". It matches the Rfam family "Eukaryotic large subunit ribosomal RNA", at positions 24 to 649 of the family's 3401-position model. The record is from RNAcentral. Lineage: Eukaryota; Fungi; Neocallimastigomycota; Neocallimastigomycetes; Neocallimastigales.
UAUGUGAUCGUCUCUCGCAUAUCAAUAAGCGGAGGAAAAGAAACUAACAAGGAUUCCCCUAGUAACGGCGAGUGAAGCGGGAAGAGCUCAAAUUUGAAAUCUUAAAGGGUUUCCCUUUACGAAUUGUAGUUUAAAGAAGUGUUUUCUGUUGAGGUUUUGGUAAAAGUUCUUUGGAAUAGGACAUCAUAGAGGGUGAGAAUCCCGUAUUUGACCUUUGCUUUCAACUUUGUGAUACACUUUCAAAGAGUCGGAUUGUUUGGGAAUGCAGUCCAAAAUGGGUGGUAAAUUUCAUCUAAAGCUAAAUAUUGGCGAGAGACCGAUAGCGAACAAGUACCGUGAGGGAAAGAUGAAAAGAACUUUGAAAAGAGAGUUAAACAGUACGUGAAAUUGUCAAAAGGGAAGCGUUUGACACCAGUGUUGUUUUUCUGAAAAUCAAUUAAAGAACUGUUUAUGCUAAGUUGUUUAGACUUUAUCAGCUAACUGUUUAGUUUUGAGCUUUUCUUUAAUGCACUUUUCAGUUAACAAGUCAACAUCAAUUUCUUUUGCUGUAAAAAAGCUUGAGGAAGGUGGCUUGAGAUUCGUCUUAAGUGUUUAUAGCCUCUUGCCUAUGCAGUCGGAGAGAUUGAGGUCUGCAGCGUAGAUCCUUCGGGGCUAAAUGCAUUUGUGCUAAGUUAUAGCAUUUUAUAGACAACUUGUUGACUAUGAUUUGUCUUGUAGCUUACUCGCUUAUGUUAUUUUACCUACGCUUAGGAUGUUGAGUAGCGACAUACGCAC